This 106-nucleotide ribosomal RNA is filed under the name Triticum aestivum (bread wheat). The record is from RNAcentral. Lineage: Eukaryota; Viridiplantae; Streptophyta; Magnoliopsida; Poales; Poaceae. RNAcentral also lists the same sequence under 1 other name.
GGAUGCGAUCAUACCAGCACUAAAGCACCGGAUCACAUCAGAACUCCGAAGUUAAGCGUGCUUGGGCGAGAGUAGUACUAGGAUGGGUGACCUCGUGCUGCAUUCC